RNAcentral lists this ribosomal RNA (494 nucleotides) under uncultured bacterium. RNAcentral's name for it is "partial 16S ribosomal RNA". It matches the Rfam family "Bacterial small subunit ribosomal RNA", at positions 28 to 507 of the family's 1533-position model. The record is from RNAcentral.
GACGAACGCUGGCGGCGUGCUUAACACAUGCAAGUCGAACGGUGAAGCGCCUUCCUUUUUGGUGGGUGUGGAUGAGUGGCGAACGGGUGAGUAACACGUGAGUAACCUGCCCCCUUCUUCUGGAUAACCGCAUGAAAGUGUGGCUAAUACGGGAUAUUCUGGGUCUGUCGCAUGAUGGGUCUGGGAAAGAUAUUGUUUCGGUGGGGGAUGGGCUCGCGGCCUAUCAGCUUGUUGGUGGGGUGAUGGCCUACCAAGGCGGUGACGGGUAGCCGGCCUGAGAGGGUGGACGGUCACACUGGGACUGAGACACGGCCCAGACUCCUACGCGAGGCAGCAGUGGGGAAUAUUGCACAAUGGGCGCAAGCCUGAUGCAGCGACGCCGCGUGAGGGAUGGAGGCCUUCGGGUUGUGAACCUCUUUCGCCAGUGAAGCAGGCCUGCCUCGUUUGUGGGUGGGUUGACGGUAGCUGGAGAAGAAGCGCCGGCUAACUACGUG